RNAcentral lists this ribosomal RNA (465 nucleotides) under uncultured bacterium. Its description in RNAcentral is "partial 16S ribosomal RNA". It matches the Rfam family "Bacterial small subunit ribosomal RNA", at positions 338 to 795 of the family's 1533-position model. The record is from RNAcentral.
CCUACGGGAGGCUGCAGUGGGGAAUAUUGCGCAAUGGGCGAAAGCCUGACGCAGCGACGCAGCGUGAGGGAUGAAGGUUCUCGGAUCGUAAACCUCUGUCAGAAGGGAAGAAAAUAUAUCAUGCUAAGCAGUUGUGUAUUGACGGUACCUUCAAAGAAAGCACCGGGUAACUCCGUGCCAGCAGCCGCGGUAAUACGGAGGGUGCGAGCGUUAAUCGGAAUUAAUGGGCGUAAAGCGAACGUAGGCUGUAUGGCAAGUCAAGGGUGAAAUGCCACGGCUCAAACGUGGAACUGCCUUUGAUACUGGCAAACUGGAGUAUGUGAGAGGGCGGCGGAAUUCCAGGUGUAGCGGUGAAAUGCGUAGAUAUCAGGAGGAACAUCAGUGGCGAAGGCAGCUGACUGGCACAAAACUGACGCUGAGGUGCGAAAGCGUGGGUAGCAAACAGGAUUAGAUACCCUUGUAGUC